GCCGCGGUAAUACGUAUGGGGCAAGCGUUGUCCGGAUUUACUGGGCGUAAAGGGCGCGUAGGCGGUUUGUUAAGUCGAAGGUGAAAUCCUCGGGCUCAACUCGAGAAUUGCCUUCGAUACUGGCAAACUAGAGUGGCGGAGAGGAAAGCGGAACUCUUGGUGUAACGGUGGAAUGUGUAGAUAUCAAGAGGAACACCGGUGGCGAAGGCGGCUUUCUGGACGCACACUGACGCUCAGGCGCGAAAGCGUGGGUAGCAAACAGGAUUAGAUACCCUGGUAGUCCACGCCAUAAACGAUGGGUACUAGGUGUCGGGGGUAUCGACCCCUCCGGUGCCGCAGUUAACGCGCUAAGUACCCCGCCUGGGGAUUAUGGUCGCAAGGCUGAAACUCAAAGGAAUUGACGGGGCCCCGCACAAGCGGUGGAGCAUGUGGUUUAAUUCGACGCAACGCGAAGAACCUUGCCUGGGCUUGACAUGCUUGGGACAGCGCUGGAAACAGCGUCUCUCCUUCGGGAGCCCUUGCACAGGUGCUGCAUGGCUGUCGUCAGCUCGUGUCGUGAGAUGUUGGGUUAAGUCCCGCAACGAGCGCAACCCUCGUUACUAGUUGCCAUCAGUUCGGCUGGGCACUCUAGUGAGACUGCCGGUGAUAAACCGGAGGAAGGUGAGGAUGAUGUCAAGUCAUCAUGGCCCUUACGCCCAGGGCUACACACGUGCUACAAUGGUCGGCACAAAGGGUCGCUAAGCCGCGAGGUGGAGCUAAUCCCAAAAAGCCGGCCUCAGUUCGGAUUGGAGUCUGCAACCCGACUCCAUGAAGGCGGAAUCGCUAGUAAUCGCGGAUCAGCAUGCCGCGGUGAAUAUGUUCCCGGGGC
Molecule: ribosomal RNA, 868 nt
Filed under: uncultured candidate division GN1 bacterium
Lineage: Bacteria
Description: bacterial SSU rRNA
Rfam family: Bacterial small subunit ribosomal RNA
Source: RNAcentral